GCCACAGCAGUGACCUGAGCCACUGCAGUGACAACACCGGAUCCUUAACUUGCUGUACCACAAGAGAACUCCUAAGAUUAAUUCUAUAAGCAAAAUUACUGAGUCGAUGGCUAUGCCAAAGUUUAAGGCUUUGACCUGUAUCUGUGCAUUUUUGUUUCCCAAAGAAAGUUCUGCAGUCUUUAAACUAGGUUUGGAGAUAUCAAAUUAUAGUGACAAGUACUCACAGGAACUAUCACUGAGUCCCGCUUCACCUCUCAGGGAGGCACAGAUUGGAAGUGCUAAGGAAGAAAAUGUGUCAUUUGACCAAACAAUUCUUUGAUAAUUUGUCAAGAAGCUGUUGUGUCUGACACACAGCAGCUGCUCAAUCACUAUUUCUCAAGUGGCCCCAAGUUUUGGCUCUUAUGAAGCCAUGUGCUCCAUUCCUGCUUUAGAGGAGUUUCUGCAUGAUCUCUUAGCAUCCUCUGUAUAGGAAGUCACACAGUCAGUUUGACCCCGGAACCAUCUACAUAGACACAAAACCAACACCAACAUCUAAACAGAGUCCAAAGAAGUUUCCCACCGACUGUCUCAGAAACAGUCUGUAAUGCCAGCAUAGAGACCCAUUCUCUCCAUGUCUAUAGGUAGGAAUAAUGAAACAAAUAUUCCUUAUGUAAUUUCUCUUUAACAAAAAAUUCAAUCAUCCUCUCCUUUCUUGGUGAAAUUCAACAGUGAAAAAAUAUACAAUAGACUAUGACAAGUAAGAAAUACUUGGGCCCAUGUUUCAGAAUCAUUUCUAAUUCAAGUGCCCAAUUUGUCCCCCCGCCGUGCAUGUAACUCGUCUUUGUCACCCUCAAAUGACCACUCUCCUAACAUUCCUUUCCUUUCCUGCUAGCUUCCAGAAGCCAGAGGGGAAGGAUCAGUAGCCAAUAAAUAAAUAAAUCAGGAAAACAGAUCAAAGUUUAGAAAAUUUUGACAUCUUCUCCUCAAUCAUCAAAAAAUGACUUUUAAAAAUAUGUACCAACCUGGCCAUUCCUUGAUAGUUUGGCAGACACCAUUCCUUCCUCAAAAGCAUAAUUUAACACAAAAAGCAUUGCUGGGGGCUGUCAGAACAAGUUACUACUGAAAGGCCAUUGAAUGGGACACAUAGUCAAAAAAUUAUCAUUGCUCGUCGGUCAACACCAGCCGUGCUUGAAUUUGGAUAAACGAAAUCACUCACUUAGCUGCAUCUGGGUCACUGCAGAACUCUGAGCUUAGAAAGAGAACUGGGUUAUGUAGGGCUGGGCUCUAGCCUGAGAUUCAUGUAGGACCACACCCCCAGUGACCAGGCACCAUCAUCUCAACCCAACAAGCUGCCAAGAAACCUUGAAGGGCUCGACUGUGAGUCCCUGGUGGGUAGAGAGUAAGUCUUCCUAUCUUUGCAACCAGCGGCUGUAGCACUGGGCCUGACAGUCGGGGUGAAUGAGGUGAAACACUCAAAAGUGGCACCUUCCCAGGAAUAAGGUUUCCAGUGAUGGACGAUGCGUCAGGGCAGCAAGAGUGAUGACAGUUGUUUCCCAAGAUCUGAAGCGGACUCUGUGGCUCACUAGAGAUAGCCCAGGAGAAACACUGGGGCAUUAAAACAUCUUCUAUGAAGAUGGGUGCUGCCUUCAUGCCUAAGAGCCCUAAAUGUGCCUGCCAACUUUGCCACUCUGAACUCAGGUACAUUUUCACCCCGCCAUUGGCUCUCCAAGGCAGGUUUUUUUUUUUUCCUGUCUUCUGUUGUCUUUUGAGGGCCACACCUGCAGCACAUGGAGGUUCCCAGGCUAGGGGUCAAAUCAGAGCUGUUCUUACCAGCCUAAGCCAGAGCCACAGCAAUGUGGGAUUUGAGCUGCAUCUGCGACCUACACCACAGCUCACAGCAACACCGGAUCCUUAACCCACUGAGCGAGGCCAGGGANAGAACUCCAAAGCAGGCUUUAAAUCCUAUUUUCUUAGGACUCAAUUUGCAGGAGAUGAACAAAUCCAGAAAACCUGUGUUUAAACACCAAUUAACCUCCUUUAAUUCCCUCAUCUGUACAAAGGAGAGAUUUCCUACAUCAAAUUAUAUAACUGUUCAACAUGGGGCCUGACACGGUGCUUAAUACUGCUUAAUACGUAGAAGUUGGUACUUUUACUAUUAUUAUUCUAUUUAUUUAUCUUUUUAGGGCCACACCCAAGGCAUAUGGAGGUUCCCAGGCUAAGGGUCUAAUAGGAGGUACACCCACCAGCCUACACCACAGCCAGAAAAACACGGGAUCUGAGCCACAUCUUCGACCUACACCACAGCUCACGGCAAUGCCAGAGCCUUAACCCACUGAGCAAGACCAGGAAUCGAACCUUACCGUCCUCAUGGAUACUAGUCAGAUUCAUUUCUGCUGAGCCAUGAUGCGAACUCCCUACUUUUAUUAUUAAAGACCCCAGAGGAAUCCAGCAAAGGUGAGGGAGCCUCUUUUUUCUAUUGAAGUACCGUUGAUUUACAAUAUUGUGUUAGUUUCAAGUAUAUAGCAAAGUGAUUCCGUUAUAUAUAUCUGUAUAUUCUCUCUCUUUUUUAAUUCUUUUCCAUUAUAGUUCAGAGGGAGUCUCUUUAAAAGCAGCUAAAUCACAUCCUAAUUUUUGAUCUAGGCAAAUUAAACUAAUCAUAGUAGAAUGCUGACAGCUGUAAUGAAUCGUGAGCAGGGAAUCACGUUUAGCUAGGAUGGCUAACUCUUUAUGUUAAAAAUCAAAUUUUUACUGAGAAAAGAAUUCAUGAAAAAAGAAAAACUCAAGUCAUCUUAACAGACUCUGCCUCUGUCUCUCUCUCUCACUCACACACACACACAGCUUUCAGGCGUCCUUGAAGUCAAUAAAAUUGUGACCCCGAUACAUUAAGAAAAAUGCCCUAAGCCAGCCAAGAGUGAAAAUAAACAUGACUGAGCAAUAAAUUGGGAUCGCCUUCCCUCUCCUCCUCCCCGCCACAUGCUCGGGCUUCGCGGGGCAAAACACAGUCCAUAUGGAGGCUCUGACGUAACGGGGCCCACCCCCGCCCUCUCCUCACAGGCCUCCCCCAGGUGACUCCCGGCCCAGGCGGCCCGGGGCACCGAACAAACAUGAGCUGAUGCAGAUGGAAUGAGCAGAUGUCUGGCGUCCCGAGCCCAGGCUGUGAGGGACAGCCCGUGAGAGUGAGGAGGAGGCUUGGAGGGGAGCAGGCACCCCAUUUCCCUGCCCAAUCCCCUGAACCCCGAGUGCCAGCAGCAGCGACGGGGCAAGCAGUCCUUCCAACCCUUGAGUACCCCGUCCUCCUGCCUCCCCCGAGACCUUGACUCCCAGACCCAGACAGAGCCUUAGGGUCAAGGCGGCUCGGAGUCACCUGAUCCCAUCUGUCCGUGUGAGACAGAUGAGAACACCGAGGCCUGGGGCCUUAAGGGACUUGACCCACAGGGUGCACCGGGAGUGGCAGCCUCUGCAGCACUGGGGACGCAGGAUCAGUCCCAAAAUCCCAACCUGCUCGGUGGGCUAGGGAUCCAGCAUUGACAUUCCUGAUGCAGGAACUCCACAUGCCUCAAGGCAGCCAAAAAACAAAAGGGGGCUUGCCCAACCUCAGGUAAUAGUUUAUGGCCAAACAGAUUUCCACUCUCCUACCUUCUAGAAUAAUCCUUUUUUAUAUUCUAAGCUGGCUGACGCAGUAUGAUCAAAGAUCAUUCAUCCAACUUUUCAUUAAAUCCUCACUGUGGGAGUAGGGAGGGAGAAAUCAGGCAUUUGGGAUUAAAAGGUACACACUACUA
Molecule: long non-coding RNA, 3758 nt
Filed under: Sus scrofa (pig)
Lineage: Eukaryota; Metazoa; Chordata; Mammalia; Artiodactyla; Suidae
Description: lncRNA (ENSSSCG00035045869.1)
Source: RNAcentral